Molecule: long non-coding RNA, 2320 nt
Organism: Columba livia (rock pigeon)
Lineage: Eukaryota; Metazoa; Chordata; Aves; Columbiformes; Columbidae
Exons: 3
Source: RefSeq, a predicted model, not a curated record
GCAGCACGGGAAGGGGGAGGGGGCAGGUUAGAGGGACCCGAAUUUAUGGGAAUUACGUUGUUGGACUCGCUCUGGCUCACCACAGGAAAAUCCUCCUCAUCUGAAUCUCUAGGCAAGGGGGGAUAGGAAAGAAAAAUGUCCACUUUUUCCUUCCAUGACUGAUAGCAAUGGGGCAGAAGAUUGAACUGUAAUUAUUGGCGGUGGCGCAGAUGAUUGAACCGUGACUGAUGACGGCAACGCAGUCGGUUGAAUGCACUACUCUGACCGGUGCUCCGGGGGCCCCUCCUGAGAUCGUAUAUAACCCAACGCUGCUUUUUCAUGAACGUCGCAAGAAGAGCCACCGGCCACAGAUGCAUUUGCAAAGAGCAAGUUUUAUUUUAGUUACCUCUCUACUGGGGGAUCUCCGAAGCCGCACCUAAGCUCCCAGGCAGAGGUGACAGAAGCGGGGAUGCAGGCGCUGGUCAAGUUCAGCCCUUCUGGAAGAUCACUGGGCCUGCUGAGCUCGCCUGUAUUUCAAGGCAGGCGCAGCUUCCUGCUCUUUCUCACAACAAAGCAGGAAUCUCAUACAUAGUGAUGAGGUACCUGGAGUUUCUCACAGGCCUAUGUUAUCUAACACAGAGGUUUUACUCAUCAAGCACACAAGGUUGAUUUGCAACAAGAAAAUGACACAUUAGGUAUGAUGAUCCACCGUGGGCAUUCAAACUCACCAACAGAAUGCCCCCUUUUGACUUUGGAGGCAAGAGGUGACUGUACUAACACUCCAAAGUAGUUUGUCAGAUGACUGUGGUCACAGGCUGGAUUGUGAGGCAGUACACAUUCCCCUGAAAUCUGGAGCUUUCAAUGAGGAGAUUGAUGGCUCUUUAGCACCUUCUGUGCCCCACUGUGCCUGUCCCCACAUAUAUACACCUAGAAUGGUACCAAGGUGCUGUCAAUAAACUUCACCUCUACCAACUGAUGGGUCAGGAGGGGUGGGACCCUCGGUCAAUUGACAGGGUGCUUAACAAAGGAGGUGCCCAGACUAGCUGAGAAGCUUCUGGACUAUGUUGUAAUGCCCACAGCCACAUCUGGCCAAACAAUGAAACAGGGGUCCCGCCGAAGACCCCCUUUGAGUGGUCUUCUCGGAGCGGCGGGUCUGUAAACUGGAGUGCUUUCCUUAGACAGGAACACCGUCUAAGGAAACUUACUGGGAUUAAUGACACCUCACUUCUUUAUUUGAGUGAGUGACUGUUUCUUGUGAGUACCCUGAAGUAAAAGGCCUCUAGUUUUGUUUCUUGUGAGUGAAUACAUGCACAUUGUGGAUCCUCAUUAUUCUUAUGAUAUUGUAUUUAAAUAAUCUCCUUAGCUGAUAUCUGAACCUGUAUUUUCUGUUAUCAGAGUGCUCAGUAUGUGUAAUACCGUUGAAAUUGAAUUAUAGUGUUUAUGAGUGAUAUGAAGUAAAAUAACAUUCUUAGCUAAUGUGCAAGGGCUGAUUUAGGAUUUAGCCAGUACCGUGCAAAAUAAUUACAUAGUUUGUAAAAAUUAGGACUGUAAGACAAAAUUACUAACAUUAUCUAAUAGCAUAAAGUGGUUAGACCCUAAAACUUCAUUUUCAGCUCUCAAUCUGCAUAUAUGGGUUUUUGUGGGAAUUGGAUAUGCUUGUGUGAUGUUUUUUCUUGUAGUCCUUCAAAUCAUCUGCAGAAUGAUACAGAAUGCAAAGAAGAACAAAGCCAGGGUCCUUACUGCGCUCAUUGAGAACCUGAUGUUUAAAACAAAAAAGGGGAAAAUGUUGGAAAGAUGUGGGAAAGCAAGAUGUGCAGUUCCAGCCACCUGGAUGAUAAAGGAAGAUCAAUACUAACAUGACCAUCUGGACAGUCAAAGACAUAAUACUAAAAUAAUAAUAUAUAAAGGGCAUUGGACAGAUUACUUUGAAGUACGUUUCUUGUAAUUGUAAAAAGUUAUAGCCCAGACUCGUGAGAAUGGUAUCUUGGGCCGGAUAACCGCCCCCAAGUUUAUGGGAUGUGUGAAUGUCCUUGGGCCUGGUCUGUGAAUGAGUGGAAAAGCAAGUGAGACAAACAUCACAUGAGUUUAGUGUGUUCUUAACAACAAUCAGUGGAAAAGCACCUUUUUGUAAACAUCUUAGUCCAGGCCUGUACCUGUAAAUCCUAUAAAUUGUCAAUGGUGAAUAAAGGCAGCCUAGGCCUAGGUCAGCUCUCUGCUUGGCCAGGCUCUGCGCUCCUUCCUGAACAAGAUCUCUGCCUCUGCGUGAAUUUCUGUCUGCGUCCUGGUAUGCGUCAUUCCUAAUCGCUGCAAAGUAGACAAUAAAAUGUUUUUGUCUUCCUUU